UACGGAGGGGGCUAGCGUUGUUCGGAAUCACUGGGCGUAAAGGGCGCGUAGGCGGCCUCAGGUGUCGGAUGUGAAAGCCCGGGGCUCAACCCCGGAGGUGCAUCCGAAACUCUGGGGCUGGAGGUCGGAAGAGGAGGGUGGAAUACCCAGUGUAGAGGUGAAAUGCGUAGAGAUGUGGAGGAACACCGAUGGCGAAGGCAGCCCCCUGGGUCAAGAUUGACGCUCAUGCACGAAAGCGUGGGGAGCAAACAGG
Molecule: ribosomal RNA, 253 nt
Filed under: uncultured bacterium
Lineage: Bacteria
Description: partial 16S ribosomal RNA
Rfam family: Bacterial small subunit ribosomal RNA
Source: RNAcentral